This 574-nucleotide ribosomal RNA is filed under the name eukaryotic picoplankton environmental sample. RNAcentral describes it as "SSU rRNA". It matches the Rfam family "Eukaryotic small subunit ribosomal RNA", at positions 1 to 580 of the family's 1831-position model. The record is from RNAcentral.
UCUGGUUGAUCCUGCCAGUAGUCAUAUGCUUGUCUCAAAGAUUAAGCCAUGCAUGUCUAAGUACAAGCUCGUCCCGAGCGAAACUGCGGAUGGCUCAUUAAAUCAGUUAUGGUUCAUUGGAUCGAGUCCCCCGACAUGGAUAACUGUGGUAAUUCUAGAGCUAAUACAUGCGUCCAAGCGCCGACUUCCAGAAGGCGUGCUUUUAUUAGGAACAAGACCAGCCCGGCCUCGGCCGGCAACACUGGUGAACUCUGGAUAACACAGCCGAUCGCACGGUCUUUGCACCGGCGACGGAUCCUUCGAAUGUCUGCCCUAUCAACUUUCGAUGGUACGUUAUGCGCCUACCAUGGUCGUCACGGGUAACGGAGAAUCAGGGUUCGAUUCCGGAGAGGGAGCCUGAGAAACGGCUACCACAUCCAAGGAAGGCAGCAGGCGCGCAAAUUACCCACUCCCGACACGGGGAGGUAGUGACGAAAAAUAACAAUACAGGACUCUUUCGAGGCCCUGUAAUUGGAAUGAGUACACUUUAAAUCCUUUAACGAGGAUCCACUGGAGGGCAAGUCUGGUCCCCCGU